UACGGAGGGUGCAAGCGUUGUCCGGAUUUAUUGGGUUUAAAGGGUGCGUAGGUGGCCUGGUAAGUCAGUGGUGAAAUACAGCCGCUCAACGGUUGAGGUGCCAUUGAUACUGCCCGGCUUGAAGCAGACGGAGGCUGCCGGAAUGGAUGGUGUAGCGGUGAAAUGCAUAGAUAUCAUCCAGAACACCGAUUGCGAAGGCAGGUGGCUAUGUCUGACUUGACACUGAGGCACGAAAGCAUGGGGAGCAAACAGG
RNAcentral lists this ribosomal RNA (253 nucleotides) under uncultured bacterium. RNAcentral's name for it is "partial 16S ribosomal RNA". It matches the Rfam family "Bacterial small subunit ribosomal RNA", at positions 524 to 776 of the family's 1533-position model. The record is from RNAcentral.